CGGUGGGGGGGUGCUAAUACAUGCAAGUCGAGACGAGUGUGAAUCUCAAGAGCUUGCUCUUAUGAAGUUAGCGGCGGACGGGUGAGUAACACGUGGGUAACCUGCCCAUAAGACUGGGAUAACUCCGGGAAACCGGGGCUAAUACCGGAUAACAUUUUGAACCGCAUGGUUCGAAAUUGAAAGGCGGCUUCGGCUGUCACUUAUGGAUGGACCCGCGUCGCAUUAGCUAGUUGGUGAGGUAACGGCUCACCAAGGCAACGAUGCGUAGCCGACCUGAGAGGGUGAUCGGCCACACUGGGACUGAGACACGGCCCAGACUCCUACGGGAGGCAGCAGUAGGGAAUCUUCCGCAAUGGACGAAAGUCUGACGGAGCAACGCCGCGUGAGUGAUGAAGGCUUUCGGGUCGUAAUACUCUGUUGUUAGGGAAGAACAAGUGCUAGUUGAAUAAGCUGGCACCUUGACGGUACCUAACCAGAAAGCCACGGGUAACUACGUGCCAGCAGCCCGCGGUAAUACGUAGGGGGCAAGCGUUAUCCGGAAUUAUUGGGCGUAAAGCGCGGGCCAGGUGGUUUCUUAAUUCUGAUGUGAAACCCCACCGGCUCAACCCUGGAGGGUCAUUGGAUAGUGGGGAGACUUUGAUGCUA
This 645-nucleotide ribosomal RNA is filed under the name Bacillus cereus. Its description in RNAcentral is "bacterial SSU rRNA". It matches the Rfam family "Bacterial small subunit ribosomal RNA", at positions 34 to 651 of the family's 1533-position model. The record is from RNAcentral. Lineage: Bacteria; Bacillati; Bacillota; Bacilli; Caryophanales; Bacillaceae.